GCCGGGUUGGAUCAGUGGGUAGAACAUGCGCACAUAGACUAAGAGGUUUAUGCCUUGACGCAGAGGUCCAGGGUUCGAAUCCGACCUGGUA
This 91-nucleotide transfer RNA is filed under the name Perca fluviatilis (European perch). Its description in RNAcentral is "tRNA-Met". The record is from RNAcentral. Lineage: Eukaryota; Metazoa; Chordata; Actinopteri; Perciformes; Percidae.